AGUAUUGUGUGCAAAAUCAGAGAGGGGUGCAAGAUCCUGAUUUUUCAGGGCCUGGAAGGCAAGAGCCCAGAAAUUCCCAAUUGAGAAUUGUGUUAGUGGGUAAAACCGGAGCAGGAAAAAGUGCAACAGGAAACAGCAUCCUUGGCCGGAAAGUGUUUCAUUCUGGCACUGCAGCAAAAUCCAUUACCAAGAAGUGUGAGAAACGCAGCAGCUCAUGGAAGGAAACAGAACUUGUCGUAGUUGACACACCAGGCAUUUUCGACACAGAGGUGCCCAAUGCUGAAACGUCCAAGGAGAUUAUUCGCUGCAUUCUUCUGACCUCCCCAGGGCCUCAUGCUCUGCUUCUGGUGGUUCCACUGGGCCGUUACACUGAGGAAGAGCACAAAGCCACAGAGAAGAUCCUGAAAAUGUUUGGAGAGAGGGCUAGAAGUUUCAUGAUUCUCAUAUUCACCCGGAAAGAUGACUUAGGUGACACCAAUUUGCAUGACUACUUAAGGGAAGCACCAGAAGACAUUCAAGACUUGAUGGACAUUUUCGGUGACCGCUACUGUGCGUUAAACAACAAGGCAACAGGCGCUGAGCAGGAGGCCCAGAGGGCACAGUUGCUGGGCCUGAUCCAGCGCGUGGUGAGGGAGAACAAGGAAGGCUGCUACACUAAUAGGAUGUACCAAAGGGCGGAGGAGGAGAUCCAGAAGCAAACACAAGCAAUGCAAGAACUCCACAGAGUGGAGCUGGAGAGAGAGAAAGCGCGGAUAAGAGAGGAGUAUGAAGAGAAAAUCAGAAAGCUGGAAGAUAAAGUGGAGCAGGAAAAGAGAAAGAAGCAAAUGGAGAAGAAACUAGCAGAACAGGAGGCUCACU
Molecule: small RNA, 858 nt
Filed under: Pan troglodytes (chimpanzee)
Lineage: Eukaryota; Metazoa; Chordata; Mammalia; Primates; Hominidae
Description: processed transcript
Source: RNAcentral